RNAcentral lists this ribosomal RNA (436 nucleotides) under Pachyneuron aphidis. Its description in RNAcentral is "partial 16S ribosomal RNA". Lineage: Eukaryota; Metazoa; Arthropoda; Insecta; Hymenoptera; Pteromalidae. The record is from RNAcentral.
AUUUAUUUAAAUAGCUGCAGUAUUUUGACUGUACAAAGGUAGCAUAAUCAUUUGUCUUUUUAUUAAAGUCUGGAAUGAAAGAUUGAAUGAAAUAAAAACUGUCUCAAAUUAAUUAUAUUAUUAAAAUUUAUUUUAAGUAAAAAUUCUUAAAUUUUAUAAAAAGACGAGAAGACCCUAUAGAAUUUUAUAAAUAAUUAAUAUUAUUUAUAAUAAAUAAUAAAUAAUAUUAAUUUAUUUAUUUUGUUGGGGUGACAAAAAAAUUAAUUUAAUUUUUUUAAUAUAUUUACAUUAUAAAUGAUUAUAUUAUCCAAUACUAUUGAAUAUAUAUUAAAUUACCUUAGGGAUAACAGCGUUAAAUUUUUAGAGAGUUCAUAUUGAUAAAAAUUAUUGCGACCUCGAUGUUGAAUUAAAAUAAAUUAUUAUUGAAGAAAAUAAU